AAGUCGUAACAAGGUUUCCGUAGGUGAACCUGCGGAAGGAUCAUUAGCGAGUAUGGCCCUCACGGGUCUAUCCAUUACAAACACAUUUGUGAACUAUUUCCAAGGGGGGUCGGGUCAGACGACGUAGGUAAAGGCCCCAAAGGGCCCCGAAGGCCGACUUAAGGCCAAGGCCGGAAAAGGGGCCUCCCCUUUUGUAAGGCCACGUCUUGAAGUAUUGAAAGUCAUGUUGAAUAAUCAAUAAAAA
This 244-nucleotide unclassified non-coding RNA is filed under the name plant metagenome. Its description in RNAcentral is "partial contains small subunit ribosomal RNA and internal transcribed spacer 1". The stretch from base 1 to 46 matches the Rfam family "Eukaryotic small subunit ribosomal RNA", at positions 1786 to 1831 of the family's 1831-position model. The record is from RNAcentral.